UACGUAGGGUGCAGGCGUUAAUCGGAAUUACUGGGCGUAAAGCGUGCGCAGGCGGCUUUGCAAGACAGAUGUGAAAUCCCCGGGCUUAACCUGGGAACUGCAUUUGUGACUGCAUGGCUGGAGUGCGGCAGAGGGGGAUGGAAUUCCGCGUGUAGCAGUGAAAUGCGUAGAUAUGCGGAGGAACACCGAUGGCGAAGGCAAUCCCCUGGGCCUGCACUGACGCUCAUGCACGAAAGCGUGGGGAGCAAACAGG
This 253-nucleotide ribosomal RNA is filed under the name uncultured bacterium. RNAcentral's name for it is "partial 16S ribosomal RNA". It matches the Rfam family "Bacterial small subunit ribosomal RNA", at positions 524 to 776 of the family's 1533-position model. The record is from RNAcentral.